AGACUAAAUAAUCUCAUCUGAAGUCUGACUCCCCUCUGAUGGAACGAACAGCACAGAAGAGUCCGCUGCUGCCUGGUCCCCAUCCCAAGACCUGCAGGCCCCCUGGCAGCUGUCUGCUGCCCUGCAGCAAGCCCCUGCUUGGGCCUGGGAGGAGGUCCUCCAUCACCUUCUGCUGCCAGGAGCCCCUGGCCUAGCCCCCACCCUGGGUCUGCUGCCACCAACCUGGGCCUAGGCCAUUCGCCCCUGCUCCAGAUGUGGAGCUGGAACUGCCUGAAGAGGCACCAGGACUGGACAUUGGCCAUGCUGGGCCUCGACUCUGCCAGCCAGAGGGGAAGCUGCUCACCCUGGAGGAUCACCAGGUACCAUUGCCCUGCUGGGCAAGACCCUGCCCACCGCAGUUGCUGCAGCAUGAGGACCCAUCGGGGAAUGGCCAGAGGCUGGGGUGCUGGCCACCUGUCCCUGGGCUCUGCCCCCUAGGUGCCUUUAUCCCAAGGCCGCUCACUCUGGGACUCCAGAAAAAAUCCACCUUGUACAUAGUUUCUGCAGGGAAGAGUGUUUCUUAUGGUUGUGGGGUAGGCUGGAUGGUGGAGGGGCUCUGUGUGUUGAGGAGGGAGGAUUUGUGUUGGAUGUGGGGGAAAUAAAGACUUUUUCUUCU
Gavialis gangeticus (Gharial) is the source of this 655-nucleotide long non-coding RNA. RefSeq lists it as uncharacterized. The transcript has 2 exons. Lineage: Eukaryota; Metazoa; Chordata; Crocodylia; Gavialidae. The record is from RefSeq and is a predicted model, not a curated record.